CAGAGGGUGCGAGCGUUAAUCGGAAUUACUGGGCGUAAAGCGUGCGUAGACGGUUAUUUAAGUCGGGUGUGAAAGCCCCGGGCUCAACCUGGGAAUUGCAUUCGAGACUGAAUAGCUAGGGUACGGUAGAGGGAAGUGGAAUUUCCGGUGUAGCGGUGUAAUGCGUAGAUAUCGGAAGGAACAUCAGUGGCGAAAGCGACUUCCUGGACCAGUACCGACGUUCAGGCACGAAAGCGUGGGGAGCAAACAGGAUUAGAUACCCUGGUAGUCCACGCCAUAAACGAUGAAGACUAGACGUUGGAGGGGUAAGCCUUUCAGUGUCGUAGCUAACGCGCUAAGUCCUCCGCCUGGGGAGUACGGCCGCAAGGUUG
This 371-nucleotide ribosomal RNA is filed under the name uncultured organism. RNAcentral's name for it is "bacterial SSU rRNA". It matches the Rfam family "Bacterial small subunit ribosomal RNA", at positions 526 to 896 of the family's 1533-position model. The record is from RNAcentral.